This 62-nucleotide transfer RNA is filed under the name uncultured Pelagophyceae. Its description in RNAcentral is "partial Selenocysteine transfer RNA". Lineage: Eukaryota; Pelagophyceae. The record is from RNAcentral.
GUUGCCCUUAACUCCCUUCCUUUAGUCUUCGUUGGGAGCUUGCAAGAGCCGAUGAGCGAGUG